UUAUGUGAUCGUCUCUCGCAUACAAUAAGCGGAGGAAAAGAAACUAACAAGGAUUCCCCUAGUAACGGCGAGUGAAGCGGGAAGAGCUCAAAUUUGAAAUCUUAAAGGGUUUCCCUUUACGAAUUGUAGUUUAAAGAAGUGUUUUCUGUUGAGGUUUUGGUAAAAGUUCUUUGGAAUAGGACAUCAUAGAGGGUGAGAAUCCCGUAUUUGACCUUUACUUUCAACUUUGUGAUACACUUUCAAAGAGUCGGAUUGUUUGGGAAUGCAGGUCCAAAAUGGGUGGUAAAUUUCAUCUAAAGCUAAAUAUUGGCGAGAGACCGAUAGCGAACAAGUACCGUGAGGGAAAGAUGAAAAGAACUUUGAAAAGAGAGUUAAGACAGUACGUGAAAUUGUCAAAAGGGAAGCGUUUGACACCAGUGUUGUUUUUCUGAAAAUCAAUUAAAGAACUGUUUAUGCUAAGCUGUUUAGACUUUAUCAGCUAUCUGUUUAGUUUUGAGCUUUUCUUUAAUGCACUUUUCAGUUAACAAGUCAACAUCAAUUUCUUUUGCUGUAAAAAAGCUUGAGGAAGGUGGCUUGAGAUUCGUCUUAAGUGUUUAUAGCCUCUUGCCUAUGCAGUCGGAGAGAUUGAGGUCUGCAGCGUAGAUCCUUCGGGGCUAAAUGCAUUUGUGCUAAGUUAUAGCAUUUUAUAGACAACUUGUUGACUAUGAUUUGUCUUGUAGCUUACUCGCUUAUGUUAUUUUACCUACGCUUAGGAUGUUGAGCGCAUGUCUCUCUCU
This 776-nucleotide ribosomal RNA is filed under the name uncultured Neocallimastigales. Its description in RNAcentral is "partial large subunit ribosomal RNA". It matches the Rfam family "Eukaryotic large subunit ribosomal RNA", at positions 24 to 616 of the family's 3401-position model. The record is from RNAcentral. Lineage: Eukaryota; Fungi; Neocallimastigomycota; Neocallimastigomycetes; Neocallimastigales.